This 157-nucleotide small nucleolar RNA is filed under the name Dasypus novemcinctus (nine-banded armadillo). RNAcentral describes it as "Small nucleolar RNA SNORA81 (ENSDNOG00000029752.2)". It matches the Rfam family "Small nucleolar RNA SNORA81". Lineage: Eukaryota; Metazoa; Chordata; Mammalia; Cingulata; Dasypodidae. The record is from RNAcentral.
ACCUUCUUGUUUAAACUCUGUUCUAAAAUAACAUGUCUUAAUAUUUGUAAUAAAGUUAGAAUAAACACAAGAAGAAAAACUACACCGAACAUUAGAAAUAUUGAAAUGAACUUCUUUCUUAUUUCUAGGGUACUUUAUUCUAAGAUUUGUAGAAUCU